AUUAUUUGCCUCUCUUUAGAUAACAUUUGACCAUUGAUUUACUCCUGUUUAAAUUUUUGUGCGUACUAUUUUCGUUUUCUAGUUACUAGGCAUAAACCCGUGCAAGUAUGAUACCGGUUACCUGUAAAAGAAGUAUGAAAUAGAAAUAUAGGAAAGGAAUAGGAGUACACUCUUGCAAGAUUUUAAAACUGCAUGUAUGUUUCGUGUUGUGGUGAAGCCUGGAACUAUAUUUUCAGUAACUUUAUACAGCUUUAUCAAGCUGCUGUUUGGUAUUGGUUUGUGAAAGUAUAAAUAUUCUGAUAUUUGUUAGCUUAAUUAAAAUUGAGCUAUAUACUGCUUCAUAUUUCCUUAAUAAACUUAAUUGCAAGCCUUCCAUGUUAAGGUUUUCAGCCCAGUUUUUCCUAGUAACGGGACAGCUCUAUUCUCUUUUCAUAAAUUGCAGGAACACCCUACCCAUUUGGAACAAAAAGUUACCCAUAUGUCUUUUAUUUUUCUUUUCUUUUUUGAAUAUGAUUUGGCACAUGCUCCGGGUGACUGGACAGAUUAUAGUUAGACUCCGCUGACAUGGUUCUCUUUGUAGCACUGAAUAGUCAUCCACAUGAUAUCUAAGACGACACGGACGUAAUAAGAUUCACACCAUGGGAUUUCUUGAAGCUACGUGUCAUCUUUAUCUAUUUCCCUUAGGAAUAGGGUGAGCCUUCAACCUUUAGACCCCCUAUGAUUUUUUAAAAACUAUCAUUUAAAUGUCAAAACAGUCUUCAAACACAGUUGGUAACACUAAUAGGUGUUUAGAAAUAUUUACGUACCCUAUCAAAUUUGAUAUUAUCAAAAUACUGUUUACAACAAAUACACAUACAUUAUUCUCAAGUAGCAAUAUAAGUAUUUUAUAUUCAAAGCGUAUAAGGUAUAACCUUACUAAGUUUCCAAAAUCCGGGGGAUUACUCAAAUAAUAUUAUUGUUUGAUACAUGAUAUGAAUUUGCUUUAUUGGGUACGCACAUGAACGUACAUCAAUUUGAAGAGCGUUUGCUUCUUGAGUUAUUUUCAAACUUUUCCCUCUACUGCACAAGCACGAAAGCUGAAUUAUCUGUUUGCAUCCAAUUAGUUGUGCUAUUUCUGAUUUAUUAGUAAAGCAGUACAAUUUGCUGUUGGUCAAUUUGAGCAGCUCCAGUCAAUCCAACGGGAGAAAAUACUCAAAGCACAUGCAUCUAUCUUUAUCAUGAAUGCAUUGUGGCAUUGGAUGGUUUCCACUAAAAAUGAAAAAAAAUCUCAUUAAUUAGGCAAUCUUAAACAUUUACGUGGACCUCAUUACUUCAUUAGUAUGGGAGAAACCCACCCCAACUAGUAAUUUCCGAUCAGCUUGAACUCAUUUGGCAGGUUUGCUACAAUGCUACUGAGAUGUAGGUGACUUGAACUAUUAUGCCGAUUGAUUUGAUUUGGUCGCCAUGAUCUGUACGGCAUCCGAACAUGGAGUUAUGGUGUGGAUGCAUUAUGAUCUGGACCAUACAGAUAAACCCAAUGGGUUAUUUCUGUUUUUUUAGAGUCAACGCGGUGGCUUGGAAGGAAUCCCAAUUGGUAAAUAUAUAACAUGCAAAGAUAUUGAUUUGUUGCAACUUCACAAGUCAGCCUUUUUUUCCUUCUCUUUUUACCUUUGCUCCCAUGUUGAUGUUGGUGUUUGGAUUCAACCAUAUUGAUACUAGCAUCAGUGGUGGCAUGGCUGUACGAGCCCCACCGAGUAGUUUUCUAGGCUGCAAGCUCUUGACGAGACCUGUGGAGAGCUAUCGACGAGCUUGCAACACCCCUAGGUGCAACAAUGCCCAGCCCUACAACAAAUGCAGUGCCACAACAAUGACCACCGCACUCUGUGUAUGUGGUUCAGUGUCGAUGCUUGUACCCCUGCUGACGCUUCAAAUUCCAAUACUAAUGCCACAGUUAUGCCCAGGUAGACGGGCAUUAUCAUUAGUUGCGGAUCACUGCUUGCGCAUGGUUCAAUUAUUCCCUUCUUUUUUAUGAGGUUCUUGUUCAGAAAGAACACAGCUUGGCAUGGACAGCUGUGACUUGACAGUUGACAGGAGCAGAAUGCAAGAACAAAAAUAAUCAGGGAAGGGAAAAUAAAUGGAAGUGACCGCAAAAGGAUGGAUCAUCAACCCAAAAAUCCCAGUAUGGAUAUAUAAUCAAUUAGAAUCUAGGUUAUGCGGGAUAAGUAAUGUGGGUAUGUUCAUAAGAGGCUCAGAUAAUCAAAUAUCCUACCUAGCAUAAGAGGGGCUCCUUUGAAGCAUGAAUGAGCAGUUUACGUGUCUUUAGUCUUAAGUGGUCAAUCUGUGGUGUACUUGUCGAUUUUGUAUGCAGCGCCUUGUUAUUAAACUGCGGAAGCAAAGAUUUUUGUUGCAUCCACAUAAUUCUUGUUCUAACUAUUAAGUGUAUCUGCAGGAUGAACUCGCUUUGCUUUCAGUGUCUCUUUUGUGCCAUGCAUCUGGAGCCUUUGCGGAGAAAUGGAGGAUGGUCAAGAUGGUGCUGCCGACCUUACUUGGGCAUUCGUUUUUCUUACGAGGAAUCAGCCAUCCUGUACCUCGCUAUAUGUGCGGUAUGAGGCAAAUGUAAAACAAGAGAUGCUGCAAGCAAGGUGGAUUAGUCGAUGUACUUCGCUACAUAUGCUUAUGUUAAGCGUGUCCUAGCAAGAAAUGUUGUAAUCGACGUGAUUUUUUGUGAACUUUUACAUCCAAGAGGCUUUUUUUUGUGUGUGUGUGUAUGUGUGUUGGAAAAAUUGUCGAGUAACUUAUUGCUGUCAAAAGUCUCAGCAGUUGCAGCACAUUAUCCUCUGCUCAACAUGUUCGUGUAUCCAAUGAUCAAUUGCUGCUUUAGGUUCUUAUUAUUGCUCAUUCUAGGUUUGAGAAUUCAAAUUUGUAGUUUUGUCGGAUGCCUUUCGAAAGCCACAUUCUGAGGCAAUCGGCUGAAAUAAAACAGGUAAGCUUCAUGCCUUCAUCGUCGACCGAUCAGGAUCUGAACAAUUCUGAUACUCCACAUCUUUGCAAGAGAUAUCUAUCUUGUGACUACCCUGUUGGGUUAGACACACAACUUUUUGUCAACAAGUGAUAGGAAGCUCAACAAAUCUGAUACUUAUCUAGCUGUGAUGGCAGCUCUUUGCUGUCUUCCUACUCUGGCAAAUUUUACCUGGUUGUGUUAUUUUUUGCUGUGACGAGACAGGUUCUUUAUGAUGGGUAUUGCUGCUACAUUUGCUGGAGCAUUUGGACUGGGAAACAAAGUCACCUUUGACGCACACCUCUGAUAGAUAUUGUUUGCACGGUGCGUUCGGCUGUUCGUUACUGUUAUAUUGGUCAGGUUUGCGUAAGGGGGAGAAAGUUCUUCGUUUCAGGAUGGCGUUUGUCAGCUGAUGCAGAUGCUGCUACUGCUGCUGAUCGUGGGACGAGAAGGAAUAUUUAUGGCCAUAUGCUUGUUGGUAGACAUGCCAGGUCCAAUGGCUGUCCUCUUUUUCUCAUCGGUCAUGUUCUCUUUCUUACAUUACAAUUUACAAUCAUUGUCCUUUCCUCCCUCGGUCUGAUGUGUACAUGCUUGAUGAUCAAGAACCGUUCAGGUUCCCUGCUCCGGGCACAUGCACUUUGGAACGCAAGAGCAGGUAGCUCUUCGUCCAUGGAAGCUUGCACAACUCGUGAUGAAAUGCGGUUGGCAAGCAAGCUUGGAUUUCAAAGAAUCGUCAUAGAGAGUGAUGCCCAGGAGGUGGUCAAACUGUGUAACACAUACUGCUUUGAUCGUGCGAAGAUUGUUGCUAUCUCUCAAGAUACAAGGGAGCUUAUUAGAGGCUUAGGCGGAGGUGUGUUGGUGCAUGUGGUUCGUGAAGCAAAUGAGGUGUAUCAUGGAUGUGCUAAAUAGGCUAGUGAGCUUAGGCGGAGGUGCAUGUGGACUAACUACGGCUCUACCUUCCUUCAUGAUUAUAUGCAGUUAUCCCGUAAUCCCUCUAAGUAAUAUUAUAAAGCUCCUUGUUAGAAAAACAAAAAAUAUUGGUCUAGUAGCCCUGCGAAUGUGGUGUUUCGUUGCUGCGUGUGUUGGUCAGAGGGUGGUGGGGGGAGGGGGUGGGGGCGUCGAAUAGAGGAAGUAUGUACUUACGAUGAUAACACAUAAAUACAUGCCACACAUUUGGACGGUCCACACCCCUAAACUAGCGCGACCUACCAAUCCAUAGCUUCCCAUGGGACCAGGGUAUGCAUGCUAGAUCAUAACUCGCUAGAGCAUCAGAAGCAUUCUCUCCAGCAUAUUCCCUGGUGGUUUCCAAAAUAAACUUUCUCUAUCCAUGUUGCUUCCACACAUGCUCCCGAUAUUCUAUAUCCCCAGGUCCAGUAAUCAUGUAUGUUUCCUCAUACAAGUGAUGUUUUCUUUCAUUCCAUAGUUGUUCCCAUUAUUAUAGAAUAAACAUGUUUCCAACACUAGAACCCAUGCUUCACGAUUCAUAGUCGCAUUUUUCUCGAAGCAUUGUCAAGCUUUAUUUCUAUGCUAUGAAUGCUUCUAUUUCAGAACACAAUUUUGUGAUGAUAGAAGACCGGAAAAUGUAGUACCAAAACAUUGUUAUCGCACCCUCACAAAAAAAAACAUUGUAUUGUAGUGUAAGAAUGAAUCACAUGUAUGUUCAAGGUAACAUGUCGUGUUUCAUGUGUAUGACAUGUAAUACUAAUGCAUUUCCAUGAUAGUGAGCCAGUGGAAACACAUUUUGAUAGUUGUCGAAACGGGAACAGAAGUAGUACUGAAUCAUUGUCAUCUGUAUGUAAAAAAUGAAGCAAACAUAUAAAUACUUGAAAACAUGUCACAUAUGAUAUCAGAAGCAUGUAUGUGGUACUAAACCCAAUGAAGCGCAUACAUAAAACGCUAGGAAAUGUAUAUAGAGACCACUGCAACAACUGCAUUUACGAUGUUCCCACUCCCAUGCAUACAAUAAGUCACAACGAUGACAGCAGAGAUGAUGCCGACUCAAACAAGAUCAUCUUUCAAAGGAACGUUCUUCCAGGAGGAGUGUGAAUGUCGCCCGAGAUCGAGACGAUGACCAUGAGAACUAAGGGUGGCACUGAGUCGACUACGAGUAGUAGGAACGAAGUCUCGGUUAGGAGCAAUAUGGAUGCCUCAACACUACAGGAGAGGCUUGCGCACCAAUGGGAUCAUAUAUCAGUGAAAAGCCUCCUCGUCACACUUCCCAUCCCCCCGUCUUCGUCAAUAUUAUGGCCUCACCCUGUCAUCUCUCGUGGUCAAUGCCCUCGUCAACGUCAUGCUUCUCGCCCUGCUCCCGGUCGACAUCCUCGCUCAACGGUGAAGAGCGUGAAGCUUUCGACAGACGGCUUGCGGUGGUUAUUCUAACUCUUAUUUACAAGACCUUGGAUCGAUUAUCGAUAUUCAAUAGUAAGGAAGAUGGCUUGGUGAGAUCAGACAUCGGAUAAUAAUUCUCCUUAGAAACUGCCUUUAAGGAAAACUAAUGAAAAUUUGAUAAAAUUACACGUCUUUGAAAGCUGUGUUUUGAGGCAAUCAGCUAAAACAAAACGACAAGCUUCAUGCUUCACGCCGACAUUCCUUUAUCCACAUCUUUGCAAGAGACAUGCAUCUUGUGAAAGCCCUGUUGGAUUAGACACUAUGUCAACAAGUGAUCAGAAACUCAAUAAUCCUGAUACGUAUCUAGCUGUGCUGGCAGCUCCUUUAUGGCUUCCUACUCUCGGCAAAAUUUGCCUGGUUGCAUUCUUUCUCGCCGUAACGAGACAGGUUCUUUAUGAUGUGUAUCUCUGCUACAUUUGCUAGAGUAUUUGGACUGUGAGAAACAAAGUCACCUUUGAUGCACACCUCUCGCAGAGAUUGUUUUCACGAUGCGUUAAACUGUUCGUUACUGUUAUAUUGGCCAGGUCUUCGUAAGGAGGAAGACGGUUUUUCUUUUCAGGAUGGUGUUCGUCAGCUGAUGCAAAUGCUGCUAAUCAUCGGACGAGAAGGAAUAUUUAUGGUCAAAUGCCGCUGACGCACAUGCACUUUGGAACGCAAGAGCAAGUAGCAUGUAGGCCGUGAAGCAAAUGAGGUGCCUCAUAGUGUGCGAAACAAACUAGUGAGCUUAGGUGGAGGUGUUUGUGGACUAACUACACCUCUACCUUCCUCCAUGAUUGUAUGCAAUUUCUUCGUAACCUAAUAUAUAAAGCUCCUUACUAGCAAAAUAAAUGUUUGGUCAACUAGCCCUGAGAAUGUGGUGUUUCAUUGGUGUGUGUGNNNNNNNNNNNNNNNNNNNNNNNNNNNNNNNNNNNNNNNNNNNNNNNNNNNNNNNNNNNNNNNNNNNNNNNNNNNNNNNNNNNNNNNNNNNNNNNNNNNNNNNNNNNNNNNNNNNNNNNNNNNNNNNNNNNNNNNNNNNNNNNNNNNNNNNNNNNNNNNNNNNNNNNNNNNNNNNNNNNNNNNNNNNNNNNNNNNNNNNNNNNNNNNNNNNNNNNNNNNNNNNNNNNNNNNNNNNNNNNNNNNNNNNNNNNNNNNNNNNNNNNNNNNNNNNNNNNNNNNNNNNNNNNNNNNNNNNNNNNNNNNNNNNNNNNNNNGGAAGUAUGUCUUUACGAUGAGAACAUGGAACACAUUUGGAUGGUCCGCACCCCAAAACUAGUGCAGCAUACCAAUCCCUAGCUUCCCGUCGGACCAUGGUAUGCCUGUUAGAUCAGAACUCGCUGGAUGCAUUCUUUCGAGCAUAUUUCCCGGUGGUUUCCAUAAUGAACUUCCUUUAACCAUGUUUCUUCCAUACAUACCCCCAAUAUUCACUCCAUGUCCCAAUAAUCGUGUAUGUUUCCUUAUACACCUAAUGCUUCCUUUCAUUCCAUUCGUGUAUGUUCCUUAUAUACCCAAUGCUUCCUUUCAUUCUAUUAGUUGUUCCCAUUAUAGGAUAAACAUGUUUCCAACACUACAAGCCAUGCUUCAUGAUUCAUAGUCGCAUUUUUAUCCAAGCAUUAGCAUGGUUCGUCUUCGCGCUCUGUCGCUGAAGACGCCGACGCUCGCGGGCGCCGCUAUCUUCUUGAAGACGUCGUCAUGACGUUCCUCUCCGUGUCCGGGUUCUGAUGAAAACCUCUACCUAUUGUAGACUCGGCAACAACGACGCCUAACGCCAUUAUCCCUCGGGGCGUUGUUGUGGAGCUUAGGUGUUAUAGGUCUUAGCACGGUGUUGCUUUAGUUCAUCUUGUACUUUAUUUCGGUAGCAUAGUCGCGCUCGUUCUGCGUGAUCCGAUUAUCUUGGGAUCGGCAGUGUUUGGAGGCCACCCCAUCUCCUUGUGUCCUUCGGCCGCCUCGACAACGGUGCAGCCCGCCUCGCCUCCAAUGCGGAAAUCUCCUCUUGCCUGCAGCCAACGGAGGGAGUGCGCCACGAUUGCCUUCGGCCUCUGCCCCGAGAUGGUAUGCGCCAUCGCGGUGGCCAGCGUGAGGGCCGACACCGCUCCUCGCAUCCGACGUGGAGAGCUCCUUUUGGGUGCGGCCACCUGAGGGAGUGCGCCGUCAGGGCCAGUCCUAAGGGGGGCCGAACGGGGCAGCCGCCCCGGGCCCCCGGUGCGAGAGGGGGCCCCAAAAUGCUGAGCAUUAGGUAUUGUCCUUGAUUUUGUUUUUCCUUUUUCUAUGAUUUCCUUUCAUAAUGCGGGAUGCCCUUCCUUAAUCCACCAUUUCCUUAAUUAAUUAUGAUCCAUAAAAUAGGGGUACUACUAUUUAUUCCUAUUUUCCUUCCUUACCAGCAAAGGUGCGAUUGGGAAACACGUAGGAGUUAUUGUAUGCGAUUAAUUAGGGGUAGUUAUGAAUAAACAUCUCCUGAUUUUUUUCCUUAAUCCAUGAGAUUACUAGUGUACAACCAUGUACUCAGAGAACGGAUCACCCCCUGCAUGGAGAUUGAUAUUCAUCUCAUGCGUGCAACCGCCGCCUAGUGCAGGCCUGAGUCGGAGGAGUGCGACCUCACUAAAUCUCCGAGAUCAUAUACAAGUUACAAAGACCCGAAAAAAUGUACAAGUUACAAAGAAGAGAAGGUAUGUUUCUGAUAUCUAUUUAUGCAUGUAGUCUAUCCCCUAUGAGAUUUUACCAAGAUGGUUGAUCAAAGUUUAUAAAUGAUUGCCAACAUUGCCUCUUCACUAUCGCAACUAGCCUGUUGGGGAUAUUACUACUGGGCGUAAACCGGUCUAUCUGGGCCGGGUUAACUUCGUCAGUAGUUAAGUAUGUUAAAGCCCAAGAAGACAGAGGAGGGCUCAAGGCCCAUGGUCGGUUCAAGGCCUGUAGCCGUAAACCGGCAUUAGUAAUUAACCUGAAUUGUAAGUUAGGAAUAAGUAGAGACCAAACUGGACACAUCUAUGAGCCGGUAUUGGGACUCCGUAAGCCGACGGGAGUCACCCGUGUAUAUAAGGGGACGACCCAGCGGUGAUUCAGGAACAUACAACAACUCGAGACAUAGACGAAGCUUGUUGGCUCCCUAGUCAUCGAAACCCCAUCAAUUCCAUAACAACUAGACGUAGGCUUUUACCUUCAUUGAAGGGGCCGAACUAGUAUAAACUCUCUUGCGUCCUUGUGUCCGCUUUAACCCCUUCAAGCUAACCCGUCGCGAUGGCUCCACGACUAAGUCCUUUCUUUAGGACAUCUGCCGUGACAAAACCACGACAGUUGGCGCCCACCGUGGGGCUGUCGCACGAUGGUUUCCGGUUUUUGGAGGGCUGCUUUGAAGGACUCGAGGGCUACGCUAUAGGCCGGAUGACUAAGAGUCAUCGCGGUAAGCUCUACAUCGACAACGCAGGCUGGGGCCCCGAGGCCGGCUCAAUUGAGUACGGGUACCGGGUCCCCUUUGGUAGCAUUCACGUUUUCAUUGGCAAGAUCGGUUAACCGGGCCCUGAGAUGGACAUCUGCACCGACCUCGUCGAGACGGCUCAGCGUGCGCGAUCCGCCCGGGUUAAACCGGCCAUGAAGCAUGCCUUCGUGGGAGUCAUCCAUGGAGGAAGUUAUGAGGACGGAUCGGAAUUUCGCGGCGCGACCGUCGUUUGUUCCGGUGACGAAUCUUCGACCGGGGAAACCGAAUCUCUUUAUCAGCUACAAGAUGGCCAGAUUGGGAGUUGUUCCGAUGGCAAUAGUAUUCCGGACCCCUCUGAUCUGCCCAACCGGGUUGGAAUAUUCAUGGCCGGAACACAAGCAGCGCUUCAUUCUUCGACAGCUGCGGCAACGGUCUCCGGUUCGGCAGCGGCGACGGCUGCCGGGGCAGGAGGCCCUGUGCGCCCGCCGGCUCAGGUUCUAUCAGAACUAUUUGAUGUGUUGGUUGUGCUUAUGGCGGAAGUUAAUCCGCCGGAUCAGGACGUUCACAACGCGGAGAUUGCAAAGGUAAAGGAACAGAUCACCCAAGCCAAGGCGGAUCUGGCGGCUGAGGACACCAGGAUGGCCGCAGAGCGGGCCGCCUUAGAUGCACAGGCCUACAAGCUUAUGUUGGACCAGAGCGCGUCGCAUGAAGUCAUGAGGAGGAAGCACCGAUCCCGCUUACCUCCGGUUUUCGAGGCCAGAGACCUUUUCAACACUCCAGGACCAAGAGCCGGCAAUCCACUGGAGGGAAACCGAGCAGAAGCCCCUGGGAUCGGUGCACCAGUUCAGCCUCGUCAGAUGGACCCGCCCCGUCAAAACACCGUUGUACCUCAGACCGCUUUAACACCUCCGGGUCACUACUCCAACCCAAUGGACAAUCUUGUUGCCGCUGCUGCACGGCUGGAGGCCAUUCCAAUUGAAGGUGACUCGCCGCAGGCAGUAGAGAUGCGACGGGUCAAGGAACUUCUGAGGACAACUUUGGCCCAACAGGAAGCGUACUCGUACAGCCGCGACCGGAUCCACUCGACCCCCCGUCCAAGCCGGAGCUAUAGCAGACACAUGGAUGAACCGGCAGUGUCGAGUAAUGAACGACAUGGGGCACCCCGUGACAACAACCCGACGGGUGGUGCUGAUGACGCUCAGGGAGUGGUGGACCGGGCCCGCGCGCAGGGAGGCCGAGUUAGCCACACAGCAUCAGGCUCGGCAGCUCACGCCGGUUCGUCCAACCACCUUGACUGAACCUGGUGUUACUUCUAGUUCUUUGGGGGUGCCUUGCCUUAUCCCCGCUUUACGCAACAUGCGCCUGUCCAAGGAUUUCAAAGGCCCACGCAAGGUACCAAAUUACACGGCGGAUCAACCUCUAGAGACAUGGGUGGAGAGCUAUGAGAUGGCCAUGGAGAUGCUUGAUGUGGAUGACGCGGCGUGUGCGAAAUACUUCACCAUGAUGCUCGAAGGAACGGCCCGUACUUGGUUAAAAAGCUUGCCGGCUAAUUCUAUCAGUUCAUGGGCCCAAUUACGAGCCCGGUUUAUCAGCAAUUUCAAAGAUACAUGUAAACAGCCUAUGUCGAUAGUGGACUUAGCUGCAUGCGUCCAGGAGGAAGGAGAAUCAACGACUCAUUGGGUGCGCCGGGUUUCACAAGUGUUGCACUCCUCAGACCGCAUCAACGCUGACACCGCAGUAUUAACCCUAGAAGGCAACUGCCGGUUUGGACCCCUGAAGCUGAAGUUGGGAUGGAUGAAGCGUCAUUGCACCGACAUGGGGACCCUCAUGGCCGCUUUGGUGAAAUAUGCUGAUUCUGAUAGCACCAAGGAUCCCGAAUAUGAUGAUGACAAGACAAGGAAAGGGAAGAAGAACAGCAGCUCCAAAGGUCAGCAGCAUCACUGGGCAGGCAAAGGUGGAGGAGGCAAGAGUAAAGCGGGUGGUAACAUGGACUUUCUGGCUAAUACCAACGCACAGGACAAUGGCCAGCGACGCAAUGGUAGGCCGAAAAAUCGUAAUGGAGCGCCCAACCCUAACCCAAACCACCUAAACUAUCUGCUAAGCCAGCCCUGUCAAGACAUGGGACGAAGGAGGCGCCGGCAAACCACCUUUGGAAAGAUUGCUUUAUUAUGCAGGAGUUCAAGAAUUCUAAUAAUUUCCGGUAUGAUCACGAAUCUGGCGGAGGCUCGGGAUCCGGGCCGGGUUACGGAGGAGGAAUUUCCGGUUCAGGAUUCAAUGGUAAUCCGGGCGGACAUAAUGGUCAAAAUAGUCAGAACAACCAGGGUGGUUACAACCAACAGCAGCAACAAUCAGGUUACUAGAGCAACCCAAAGCAGUUGAGUAAUGGGCAGUACCAUGUCUUCACCACUAGCUUGGACAAGCGAGACCGGAAAGUUCAGAGGCGGGCGGUCAACUCUGUUGAACCGGCCAUACCCCGUUAUCUACGUUGGUCUAAACAACCAAUCAUAUGGAGCAGAGAAGAUCACCCUCCCCAGGUCGAUAAUCCGGGUCAGCUGGCUUUGGUGGUGGCGCCUCAGGUGGGAGGUUACAAGUUCACCAAGGUGCUCAUGGAUGGAGGGAGUAGCAUUAACAUCCUGUACUAUGAGACCUUCCGUCGUAUGGGACUAACAGAUAAGAAUCUCAAACCGUCUAAUACAGUAUUCCACGGUGUAGUGCCUGGCAGAUCAGCAUAUCCCGUUGGUAAGAUAGCUCUGGAAGUGGCCUUUGGGGAUUAUCAUGAUUCCAGGUCGGAGAUAUUGACGUUUGAAGUGGUGAAAAUCCAAAGUCCAUAUCAUGCCCUGUUUGGGCGACCGGCCUACGCCAAGUUUAUGGCUCGGCCCUGUUAUGUGUAUUUGCAGCUCAAGAUGCCGGGUCACAAGGGGACAAUAACGGUUCACGGAAGCCGCAAAAUCGCUUUGGAAUGCGAGGAAGGAGAUGCGGCUUAUGCAGAGUCGGUUUGUGCCACCGAGGAGUUGAAGUACUAUAAAGACAAUGUUGAUCCGGCGGACAUGACUCCGUUGAAGAAGCCAACUACGGAGCAUGAUCCGGCCCUGAAGUUCAAAUCGGCAGCAGAAACUAAGCUUGUUGACUUCGUACCUGGUGAUUCGUCCAAGCAGUUCAGCAUCAGUGCCAACUUGGAUCCGAAAUAGGAAAGCGCGCUCAUCAAGUUCAUCCGUGGGAAUCAGGACAUUUUUGCAUGGAAGCCCUCUGACAUGCCAGGUGUACCGAGGCAACUCGCUGAGCACACACUUAAUGUGGAUCCUAAAUAUAAACCGGUGAAACAGUUCCUCCGCCGGUUUAACGAAGAAAGACGCAAGGCAAUUGGAGAAGAGGUAGCCAGGCUCGUAGCAGUUGGCUUUAUUGUUGAAGUUUUUUACCCUGAGUGGCUUGCCAAUCCGGUGCUGGUCCUCAAGAAAAACAGCACCUGGCGCAUGUGUGUGGAUUACACAGAUCUUAAUAAGGCUUGUCCAGCAGAUCCUUUUGCUCUCCCCCAUAUUGAUCAAAUUAUUGAUGCUAUGGCGGGCUGUGAGUGUUUAAGUUUUUUGGAUGCGUAUUCUGGCUAUCAUCAGAUCAAAAUGGCAGUUAAGGACCAGGAGAAGACGACAUUUAUAACUCCCUUUGGAGCCUUCUGCUAUGUGCCUAUGCCCUUCGGGCUCAAGAGUGCCCAAGCGACUUACCAACGGUGUGUACAAAAUUGUCUUCACAAGCAGAUUGGCCGUAAUGUACAUGCUUACAUGGAUGAUAUCGUGGUUAAGUCCAGGGAGAAGGAGACUCUGAUUGAUGAUUUGAAGGAAACCUUUGAUAACCUGAGGACAUACAAGAUGAUGCUUAAUCCGAACAAGUGUGUCUUUGGUGUACCGGCGGGCAAGUUAUUAGGCUUCUUGGUGUCCAAUAGGGGAAUUGAGGCUAAUCCGGAAAAGAUCACAGCCAUCACCUCCCUCGCUAAACCGAAGUGUAUCAAUGAUGUUCAGUGCCUGGCAGGCCGGAUUGCUGCAUUAAGACGGUUUAUCAGUCGCCUCGGUGAGAAGGCAAUCCCUUUGUAUCAGAUGUUGAAAAAGACGGAUCAGUUUGUCUGGAGUUCUGCUGCUGAUGAAGCAUUUGAGGACUUAAAAUGGCAAUUGGCCAAUCCACCUGUGCUCGCUGCGCCCAUUGACAAGGAGCCAUUGCUGCUAUAUGUUGCUACUAAUGCUCGAGCGGUCAGCGUGGCUAUUGUGGUAGAGCGAAAGGAGGCAGGUAAGGAGCAUCCGGUUCAACAUCCGGUCUAUUAUAUCAGCGAGGUGCUCAUUGAGUCCAAGCAAAGGUAUCCGCAUUGGCAGAAGCUGGUGUAUGGAGUUUUUAUGGCAAGCCGGAAGCUUAAACAAUACUUCCAAGGGCAUCCAAUUACAGUGGUCAGUUCUGCUCCUUUGGGAGAUAUCAUCCAGAACCGGGAAGCAACUGGCCGGAUUGCAAAGUGGGCUAUAGAGCUGGGGCCGUACGGUUUGAAGUAUGUGCCUCGGACAGCGGUUAAGUCUCAAGCACUUGUUGAUUUCAUCAAUGAUUGGACGGAAAUGCAAGCACCUGAAGAAAAGCCGGAUCAUACGUAUUGGACCAUCCAUUUUGACGGAUCCAGGCAAUUGGAAGGCUCGGGGGCUGGAGUCGUAUUAACCUCCCCACGAGGUGAUAAGUUUUGUUAUGUUCUCCACUAAUGUUCCCUUGUACUAACAAUGCAGCUGAGUAUGAAGCCUUGCUCCAUGGUCUCCGGAUUGCUAAGGAGAUGAAUCUAAGUCGAGUUAAGUGCUUCGGUGACUCGGACCUUGUGGCUCAGCAGGUGUCUGGCACUUGGGACUCCAAGGACCCACUCAUGGCAGCAUAUCGUCGUGAGGUGGAUAUUGUUGCAGGUUAUUUCAGAGGCUAUCAGGUGGACCACGUGGACCGGCGGAAAAAUGAAGCGGCGGACGCUUUAAGCCGGCUGGGCUCUCAACGCAAACCGGUCCCGCCCAAUGUUUUUCUGGAUGUGCUACACAACCCGUCAGUGAAGAUCCCUGGUGAAGAGGAUUUGGCUAUUCCUGAUCCGGAGGCUCAAUUGGUGGCAGCUCUUCAUGUUAUUCCGGAUUGGACGCUUCCUUACCUGGCGUACAAGAACCGGGGCGAGUUGCCAGAGGAUGAGAUUCUAGCCCGACAGAUAAUCCGGCGAUCCAAGUCCAUGGCUAUCAUCAACGGCGAGUUGCAUCAUUGCAGUGUAUCAGGAGCUUUUCAACGUUGCGUGUCCCCUGAAGAAGGUCGUGAAAUUUUGCGUGAGAUCCACGAAGGAGAUUGUGGUCACCAUGCCGGUUCAAAGUCUCUGGUGGCUAAAGCAUUUCGCCAUGGCUUCUAUUGGUUAACUGCUCAUGCUGAUGCGGAGGAUCUGGUCAGACGAUGUGAUGGUUGCCAAAGGUUUUCAAGACGUGCUCAUGUACCGGCUCAAGAAUUGAGAAUGAUUCCAAUUACUUGGCCGUUUGCGACUUGGGGGCUGGAUAUGGUUGGGCCUUUCAAAAGGUCCAAAGAUAAGAAGACCCACCUCCUGGUGGCGGUUGACAAGUUUACAAAGUGGGUGGAGGCAGAACCUGUUAGCAAGUGUGAUGCGGCCACGGCGGUUCAGUUCAUCAAAAAGGUGAUUUUCCGGUUUGGCUUUCCGCAUAGUAUUAUCACAGAUAAUGGUACCAAUUUGUUCAAAGGUGCUAUGAAGGAGUUCUGCGAACGGGAGCACAUCCGGCUCGACGUUUCAUCAGUGGCACAUCCACAGUCCAAUGGUCAAGCAGAAAGAGCUAAUCAAGAGAUCCCGAGAGGCAUCAAGCCCCGGCUCAUGGUUCCUUUGCAGAGAACGCCGAGUUGUUGGGUAGAAGAAUUACCAUCUGUGCUAUGGAGCAUCAAUACAACACCCAACAGAUCAAAAGGAUACACACCGUUCUUCAUGGUUUAUGGAGCGGAGGCGGUUCUCCCCAGUGAUAUCCGUCAUGAUUCACCUCGUGUAAUGGUUUAUAUUGAAGCGGACAACGAGACAGCACGGCAAGAUGCUUUGGACCGGUUGGAUGAAGAGCGUGACAUCACAGUCGCCCGAUCGGCGAUUUACCAGCAGGAUCUUCGUCGUUAUCACAGUCGUCGGGUCAGAACCAGAACCUUUCAGGAGGGAGAUUUGGUGCUUCGGCUCAUCCAAGAUCAGACUGAUAUGCAUAUGUUAUCCCCACCUUGGGAGGGGCCUUUCAUGGUCAGCAAGAAUCUGCACAACGGGUCAUACUAUCUGAUCGAUAUUCGAGAACAUAAGGACUCACGUACAUCAGAGGAGGAGACCAACAGGCCGUGGAACAUAGCUCAUCUUCGGCCUUAUUAUACCUGAGCCAUUGGUUCUACUUAUGUACAUAUUACAGCGAUGUAUAUAUUAACUAUAAUAAACUGGAACCUCAGCUAAAGCGGGGUAUCUGUUCUUUUACAUCAUGUGUGGUUACACGGAGUUGUUUUAAAGCGACUUCCGGUUUACCCCUUGAGUUCGCUUUGCUAAAAGCAUCGUAUUAUAUCACUUGGAGGAUUGGUCGUGUCCGAACCAAUACCAUGCCUCUUGAUAGGCGAGAGCCACCAGAUCACUUGGGGACUUGGUCAUGUCUGAACUAGUCAUGCAUCUUGAUCGUCCUAAGGCCACAGAAUCACUUGGGGGCUUGGUCAAACCCAAACCAUGACCAUGCCAUUUGGUCGGCAUAAAUGCCACGGUUUCAUUUGGGGACCUGGCUGACUAGAACUAUAGUUACACCUAACGGGAGCUUGGUCAUGUUUGGCCAUGGUAACGCCAUUUGAUCAGCUUAAAUAAACCUUUUUUGGCAAACGGUUUUUUCAUUGCUUUUGCUUCACACUUUUCUUUGAAGGGUUUUUUUUUCUUUUUAUUGCGUUUUUAAACCGACAAAGUUUUUUAACCAAUCAAUUGACGGAACACAGUUCACGUCAAUCCGGAGACUAUUUUGCCCGGUUUGAUCCUUGUUGUUAACAUCCUCUUAUGGAGUAACACGGUGUUUAUUAUAACCCGGCACAGUUUACAUGGUAAACCAGCGUCAUAUAUAUAUACAGGAGCUGUUAUCUCCUCCAACAGUGUGGGUUUGCAAAACUCCGCUUCAAGAUUGGCCAAGCCAACUUCACACUCAACGAUGGCAGGUAUUAUGUAUCUCAAAAUUUUGAUCAUAUAUUUAAAAUUUCGUUUUGGAUGUUUUGAUUUCAUAUAUACAGACAUCAUAUUCCGCCUGACGGUACAACCGCGGUGGCACUUGAUGAAUUUAUCAUUUCAGAAAGUGUUUUGGAAAGUUCAUUACCACAGGAAGAACAAAUUAUGCACGAAGGCAUAUCAACAUCAAAGGUAUCAGCUAGCCUAUUACAAGGCAACAUGGUGCCCAUAAUAAUAUAAUUGUUUUUCACAAAGGAGAGGCAGUUUUAAAACCGGCUUCCGGUUCAAGCUUGCUCACCAGCCUGGCCUGAUGGUUGUGGGUCAUCCUGCGCCGCUUCAGCCUCUGUUUCUCUACCCAGUGGCUGGAAAUCCACAGUUGUCCAGUCGAUUCCCAUUAAUGCUUGAAAAACAGCUUCAUCAUGGAUCAGCAAUGACGGGUCAAUAUCGGGAGCGUAAGUAUGCUUACGGAUUGGAGGGAUCAGAUUUUCCGAUUCAUGGAUUGCUGCAGCUAUUCGCUUGUUCUGACUGUCAUAUUGCGCUUGAUAAUGAGACAAGUCUGCUUCCUCAGCCAACUGACAAGCUAGCGGACGUACCUCCCAGUUUAUUGCUCGCAGAUCCGCUUCACCAAAUUCUGACCCAUCUUCCUUCAAGCUGGGAUAGCCCUGAGCCGCUUCAAUAGGAUCAAAAUCCGGCACCCAGGCUUUUGCCCGGAUUAAGGCAUUGAUUGCACCGGUUCGAGCAGCAGAUUUCUUCAGCUCUUCAACCCGGGCAGGAAGCACUGACAGUUUCAUCAGAGUAUCUUGAAUCAAAGUGGGCACCGGUUUGUUAUGAGACGCGGUACAGAUGAUCCGCUGGGCACCAGUAUACAAUUGUUCAACCAAUGUAUAGGCGGCUUUCAAUUUCUUCCGCACAUCUGACCCCAAGCGACCAAUGCGUGAACCUGAAAUACCAUAAAGGGUUAAUAACCGGCGACUCUGUAAGAAGGCAGAGCCAAUUCAGAAGGCAAGCUGGCUUACCAAAGAUAUCAGUGGUCAUGGCAUGCACGUGCCGCUUUAUGCUGGUCAGUUCAUCCGUCACUGGUUUUAGUGCAGCCUCGGCAUCCUCUGCUCGUUUGAUCAAAGCGGACUUUUCAGUGGCCCAAUCCGCUCGUUUCUUCUUGAAGUUCUCCUUAAGUUGUUCCAUGGCGCUUAAAGCGCUGGCCAAUUCCUCUUUUGCUUUGGAGGUUUCAGCCUGUUGGGUUUUCAGAUUUUCUUGAAGAUCGAUGACUUGGUUUUCUUUCGUCUUCAGCUCCGCCUGCAUGUAUACAGAUAUAUGCUUCGACAAAUCGGUAUAAGGAUUCAAGUACCAACCACAUAACAAGUUAUGCGCUUAGCACUUGGGGGCUAAUGCAUAUUCGAUCUUCAUCUUUCAAUUGUUUACAAAGUCCCAAGAUCAAUACAAGUAUUCAGCUUGGCACUUGGGGGCUAAUGGCUAUUUGAUCAUAUAUAUUCUAAUGCGACAGUUUCAAUUACUUAAAGUACCGGUUUAACUACGCUAAGUUGAACCGGCCCUUGGGGGCUACAUCAGCGAAUUUCAAAGCAUCAAGAUUUAUAUUAUUAAGUCCCAGUUUGAAACAAUAUUUCAAACCGGCCCUUGGGGACUAGGAGAGUCAGCAAGAAUGGAAGCAUACAAGCAGGAAGGAGCAUAUGGAAGUUACCUCAUAUUUAUCUUUCAUCAUAUUAACCAGACCGGCUUCAUAGUCACGACUGGUAUACAGCCGGUUCAGAUAGCCGGAAUGGAUAUCUUGGGCGUUCAGAGCAGCGUAAGUCAUCAGAUCAGCGUUCCACUUGCCUUUGCCAAAGGCAGCAAAUUCUUCCUUGGCAGAAUGUUUGGAUAAAGCGACAGGAUUGCUUGGCUCAGUAUGGCCAGUGCCAGUAAUGACAACCUCAUCAUCCUUGGUACCGCUGGUUUGCAUUGGAGCUGUUGGCUUGUUAGUAGGUUUUGUUGGACCGGUGAAGCUUUCAAUCUGAAUGGAACCUGUGGGCUGAUGGAUAGGACCUGAGGUAUCAGUAGGUCUCUCUUCAGCAAUAAGAUCAUCAUCUUGCUGCGGUGGAUCGUUGGGAAUAUCCUCAGGAAUAGCCGCUUCAGCAUUGGGUGUCUUGCCUGCUUCAAGAACGACAUCUUCUUCGGCCAUUUUGUCCAGGCGGGCCUUCUUGCUUGGCCUAGGUUUGGCUCUGAGAAGAAUAAUAAAUCAAAUACAGCAUAUGUUCUAAGGCGAUGUACUGCAAACAUCACAAUAAGUAUAGCUUACGCAAGCACCGUUUUAAGCGGUGGGAGCUAAGUAGCCGAUGACUCGCCAGAAGAUGAGUGGGAAGUAACCUGGUAAUCGGAGUCAGACAGAUUAAGAGGUUGAUGAAAGCAGCCCGCUUUAGGACAAGCACUGACAAGCAAAUUAGAGACCUCUGAAUGGCGUUUCCGAACCGGACUAUUCGGUAAACCGGCGGAGGUAACUACCUGGCCGCUGUGCCGGGUUGUGCGACGAGCUUCGUGUUGUUGGGUCUUCAUAAGAAAUUUAGGAUCCAAAUAAGCAAGAGGAUGAGAAAAUUUAACUUUCCGGUUUGCCUGGAGGAUUUUUUGUGAAGGCAAAGUUUCUGAAUCGGAAGAGAGAAUAAUUACCUCUGCAACAUCCGCGUGGCUGGCUUCGGCAUCAUCCUAACAAAUAUCAUCAUCAAUAAGACGCAUGAAAAAUAAACCAAGUGAGUCAAGCUCUACCUCAAAGUCCGGAUUAUCCACAUCAUCAUCAGGGGCCGGAUUAGAAGAUGUAGUGGUUCUUUUUCUGUGGGCAGUCUUCUUCACAGCUUUAGUUUUUUGCCGGGUUGCUCUUUCCGGUUUGUCUGGUUUUUCUGGUUUCUCCUGCGGCAGUUUUUUGCUCCAAAACGGAUCAUUGCCCUGAUUAUGCAGACACUGAUAUUAAACAAUGACCAGACAUAUCAAUAACAGAUUCAGCAAAGAGAAAAAUCAAAAUCUUACAGCUGGCGGUUUGUUGGUGGCACAGAAGGGAAGCAGGCCGGUUCUAGCGCAGAAGUGUUCCGGUUCAUUCAGCAUCUUAUUUACAGCCUCUUUGAUUUCUUCAUCGGAGAGCUGGAUUUUUGAAUGUCGCAGUGGGUCAUCAAGAUUGUCAGUAUACUCGCACAUCAAACCGGAGCGCUGACUAAGGGGCAGUAUGCUCCAUGAUAUCCAACAGCGAGCGAGAUCAACCCCUGUUAAACCGUUGGCCAUAAAGGCUCUGAGCUUUGACAGUUGGGUAGCAUAUUUGCUUCUCUCCUGGGCAGUAAAUCUUUGAGGAAAAGGGUGUGUAUUGCUGAGCCGCUCCGGACGAAAUCCAGGCAAGGGAUUCUCACCAGCAGGGGAGGUGUCUUUGCAGUAGAACCAUGUCUGAUUCCACUCCUUGGGGAUGACUGUGCAGCUUGGCGUGAGGGUAUGUGACCUCUUUCCUUUUCUGAAUCGCCACGCCACCCAACUCUGUAUUAGAGCCAUCAUUAAACUCAGUACAACGGUUUAGAUGGAAAAUGUCUCUGAACAAUUCCACUGUGGGCUCCUCUUGAAAGAACACCUCACAGAGUACUUGGAAGUGACACAUAUUUGUAACAGAGUUGGGGCCAGUGUCUUGCGGAUGGAGUUGGAAAUCGGCUAAAACAUCCCGGUAAAAUUUAGAACCGGGCGUCUUAAAGCCCCGGGCUAAGUGAUCUACGAAAACAACAACCUCUCCUUCUCGAGGUGUGGGAGGGCAUUCUUUGCCAGGAGCCCUCCAAUGGAUGGUAUCUUUGCUGCCUAAAGCGCCAAUCAGGACUAAAUCGUCCAGUUGAUCCUCUGUAACACGAGAAGGAACCCAAUUGCACUCAUAUACUUGCUUGGCCAUGAUGGAAUCUGCAAGGUAGAAGGUCCCGGUUCAAAAAUGCAUUUGAUCAAGGUACGUUGGUAUGUGCACUGUUAAACCUGAGACAGAACUAUCUGAACCGGAGUUUCAUGAAGCAACCAACAUCUGGCGGUUCAACAAGGGGACUAAUGGCAUAUACCGGUUUGGAAAAUUUUCUAUAAGGUUAAACCGCCUGAUCUAAGCAUUGAAAAGUUGAGAUUGCGGAUGGACAAGUACGCAGAAACAGGUUUCACAAGAUUUCUUUACAGCAUUGGAUCUGAAGCAAGUUCAGAAAAGAGAUAAAUGCUUAGAGGUUCAAAGGAGCAGUACCGAACCAAUGAGCAAAACGUUCAUAUAGAUCUAUGGUUUGAGAUGCAUAAGUGAAGGCGAAGGUCAAACAACUAUCGUUGCACGGAGUAAAGACUUGCAAAUUCAUCUAAAGAUCUAUCGUAUGAGCAAGAUGCAGACGAUGAACACUGAAGAACUGCGAAACCCUAGGCCAGAUCUGCGGGGGAAAGGAUAGAAGAUUUACUGGAGCUGAGGAAGAUGCGGAAGGUUGCCGCGAUGUUCUGGUGCGCUCAGGUUGAUGCAGCGGCCAAGGAUGAGGCAGAGGUCGACGGCGGCGGCGGAGCUCCGAGGCUGGCGACGCGAGGAAGACGAAGAAGGCACGGAAGGAGAAAAGAAAUGACCCUUCGGUCCUAUUUAUAAGGCGAAAGAACAUGCGUCAGGCGCCACAAUCAAGGGGCCACAAAACGGAGCUGUCGCCUCGAUUUCCGCCAAUCUAUUAAACAAAGAAGCAUAAUGGAUAGCUUCGUUAUGACAGGUGACGUCACUCCGGUUUACAGCAAUCAGAGAAGAUGACAUCAUGGCGGUUUACCAAAUUAUAAAAAGAUGUUGAAGAUGAAGCUUUUAUCAAAAGGAUUGACAUGAACCCGUUCAAAUCAAUCUGGGGCCUAAUGUUGGGGAUAUUACUACUGGGCGUAAACCGGCCUAUCUGGGCCGGGUUAACUUCGUCAGUAGUUAAGUAUGUUAAAGCCCAAGAAGACAGAGGAGGGCUCAAGGCCCAUGGUCGGUUCAAGGCCUGUAGCCGUAAACCGGCGUUAGUAAUUAACAUGUAUUGUAAGUUAGGAAUAAGUAGAGACCAAACCGGACACAUCUAUGAGCCGGUAUUGGGACUCCGUAAGUCGACGGGAGUCACCCGUGUAUAUAAGGGGACGACCCGGCGGCGGUUCAGGAACAGACAACAACUCGAGACAUAGGCGAAGCUUGUUGGCUCCCUAGUCAUCGAAACCCCAUCAAUUCCAUAACAACUAGACGUAGGCUUUUACCUUCAUUGAAGGGGCCGAACUAGUAUAAACUCUCUUGCGUCCUUGUGUCCGCUUUAACCCCUUCAAGCUAACCCGUCGCAAUGGCUCCACGACUAAGUCCUUUCUUUAGGACAUCUGCCGUGACAAAACCACGACAUAGCCUGUGCUAAUUGAUUUAUUAGAUACUUUUUUUUGCGAAUAAAUACUGUUUAUACAGAGCUCUUAUUGGGGCUAUCAAUUUUUUAAUACAGCGAUAUGCUGACUGUUGAAAUGGAGGAAUAAGUCGAGAGACUUUAUACAUAUCAAAGCAAGUGAUCAUAGACACUUAAAUCAUCUGCUAGUCUUGCCGAUGAACUCGCUUCUAGAUUGUGAUCCAAAAUUAGGUUAAUCUUAAUUGAAUAUAUUAGUAAAGAAAGAGAUUUAUAAGAGAAAAACUAUAUUUUCGUUGGUUGACAUUUAACAUAUUUUCUUGUAUUUUUACUAUGUUUAUGUUAAGGCCCUUGAGAUUGGGAUCUAGUAUUCUAGUUUCGUCUCGGACCCCGAAAUCUCAGGACCGUCCCUGUGCGCCGUGAUUGCCUCCGGCCUCUGCAUCGAGACGGUAGGCGCCGUCGUGGUCGUCGGCGGCCUCGCGACCACCCUGGUGUUAUCCACUCUCUCUGCUCUCACUCGCUUGGAGGCCAACUAAUGAAAAUGAGAAGCGGUGUGAAGUGGCACGGAAAGGGAAUACGAUACAUGCGGCGCUCGCGACGGGGCGUUGCUUUUCCAAACGAGAAAGAGUGUGAUGUGGCUGAUCCCCUGCUCUAAGAUUCGUGCUAAUGAUCCAAGGGUGGAAAAGACGUUCAGACUGGGGUCAUGGAAACCUGACAUUCGGGGGUUAUAGAUUCCCAAGAAUAAUGGUUGGAUACAGCGCCGCCGACGGCUCAGCGGCUCGGCUGCCGGCAGCAAACGAAGGGGGAUAGAAUUAGCAACCUCAUGCUAAAUUCCGUGAGCCGCAAUUAGCAGCCUCUCGCUUAAUUCCGUGAACAAUUUGGCUCACUCCCUGACAAGUGACAACCUAGCUGCUCUGAACUCCGCUCGAAACCCUAGCCGCCCCCAUCAUCCCCUUCCUCCCACCCCGCCGCCCGCCAUGCCCUCGCCGGCGCCGCACCUCGUCGACGAAAUCCUGGAGGAGGUCUUCCUCCGCCUGACCACCCCGGCCGAGCUCGCCCGCGCCUCAACCGCCUGCCCCCGUUUCCGCCGCAUCAUCACCGACCGCUCCUUCCUCCGCCGCCACCGCAAACGCCACCCACCUCCGCUCCUCGGGCUCGUGAACGUGGAUGGCAGCUUCCAACCAGCCGAGGCGCCCCACCCCUCCGCCCCGCUCGCCCGCGCUCUCGCCGACGCCGCUGAUUUCACCUACUCCUUCGUCCCCGCGCCCAGCAAUGGCAUCCCCUGGCAUGUCCGCGACGUCCGCGAUGGCCGAGUCCUCCUGGAGGCCUGCCAGGUUUUGGAGACCCUCAAAGACAUGGCGCUGUGUGAUCCCUUGUCACGGCGCUACGUGCUGCUUCCGCCCAUACCGACGGACCUCGCUGUCCAGGAAGAGUACCCAUUUGAUAUCGUGCCCAUCCUUGCUCCCAUUGCGGAUGAUGAAGAUGAUAUGUCGUUCAAGGUGAUAUGCUUAGCCAUCUAUGGUUCCAAGCUAACCGCCUUUGUCUUCUCGUCUGUCACACAGCAAUGGUGUAUAACUGCAUCUAUCGGUUGGAGUUUGUUAGACGCGCAUCACCCUCCCCUUGGACUGUGCAUGUUUUCCACUUAUGGGUUCUGUGGCUUGCCCGGUUUCGACAACGAGGGCGGAUGCUUCUACUUGGCGUCACCUUUGUUAGACAAGUUGUUCGUGCUGGACACACAAAAAAUGGAGUUUCUCACUGUCAAAUAUCACACUGGCUAUGAUAUACUGGUCAGACACCUGCCUGGCCGGAUAAUCGAAUUUCUCGCCAGAUACGGUGAUCCCCAUAUAAUUCAACCUGGCCAGGACAGAAGUAUGCGUGGCAUUGUAGUAGGUAGAGAAGGAGACCUCGAGAUGUUUUCUCUCAUCGGUGAUCACAGCCCAAAUGGCUCAUUUGAUCUCUAUCAUACGACUCAGCAAAGCAAUGGUGAAUCUUCCAAUGAAUGGCGGAUGAAGAAUAUUAUACCGUUGCCUGGAGGGCAUGACUAUUUCACCAUGAGUGCGGCUGAGGGAUUAUUGUUCCUUGGAGCCACUACAGAAGAUCAAGUGGGCUUUGAUAGAGAGUCUGGGCCGCCAUUGUCCAGGAUUGAUUGGGAUGUAGAUUAUUUUUCGCUUGAGGUCAAGACUUCUGAAGUGAGGAAGGUUUGCACGAGCAAGGGGAAAUUCUUCCAUGCUGAACAUGUUCACUGGUACUUUGGCUACCCCCCGUCGCUGUCAAAACCGAGUGUAUGAAGUGGUAAGUUAAUUUGUUUUAUGAUCGUUGUGCUCUGCUGGCCUAAUUGUUCAUGUAGAUGUGAUUGCUUUAUGCUGUUAUACAAGACAUUGUCAAAGUAGGGUAAGUUGGCAUGAUCUGUUUCCUGGUCAAUAAUUGCCUUGCAACAUGGUAAUAAAGUUAACAAUUUCAUUUCAUACCAAGAAGGGUGUAUAUACCCCACCAAGUUUGCAUAACAUUUGCUUCAGUUAAUGUCUGAGGGCCAUUUACAUCUAAGGAAAGGCGUUAAUUUAUCCUUUGCGUAUUAGUUUCUGCUACAUUUUGUUAACUGGAACCGGCUAAAUGAUCAUUUGUCCCUCUUAUAGACAUACUACCUCUAUUAUUUGCCCCUCUUUAGAUAACAUUUGACCAUUAAUUUACUCUUGUUUAAAUUUUUGUGCGUACCAUUUUCGCCUUUCUAGUUAGUAGGCACCAACCCAUGCAAAUAUGACAUCAGUUACCUGCAAAAGAAGUAUGACAUAGGUUACCUGUAAAAGAAGUAUGAAAUAGAAUUAUAGGGAAGGAAUAGGAGUACACUCUUGCAAGAUUUUAAAACUGCAUGUAUGUUUCCAGUUGUGGUGAAGCCUGGUACUAUAUUUUCAGUAACUUUAUACAGCUUUGUGAAGCUACUGUUUGGUAUUUGUUUGUGAAAGUAUAAAUGUUCUGAUAUAUGUUAGGUUAAUUAAAAUUGAGGCAUAUCCUGCUUCAUAUUUCGUUAAUAAACUUCUGGAAGCCAUUCAUAUUAAGGUUUUCGGCGCAGUUUUGCCUAGAAACCGUGCAGCUUUAUUCUCUUUUCAUAAAUUGCAGGAACACCCUACCCAUUUGGAACAAAAAGCUGCCCAUAUGUCUUCUAUUUUUCUUUUCUUCUUUGAAUAUGAUUUGGCACAUGCUCCGGAUGAUUGGACAGAUUAUAGUUAGACUCCAUUGACAUGGUUCUCUUUGUAGCACAUGAAUAAGAGUCCACAUGAUACCUAAGACGACACAUACGUAAUCAAAGAUUCACAUCGUGAGAUUUCGGGCAUCCAUUUCUUGAAGCUACGUGUUAUUUUUAUCUAUCUCUAAGGAAAAGGGCUAGCUGUAGGGCAUAAGUGAGCCUUCAACCUAUAAACUCCCUAGGACUUUUAAAAGCUAUCAUUUAAAUAUAUCAAAAUAGUCUUCAAACACAAUUUGGAACACUGAUGGGUGAUUAGAUAUAUUUAAGUACCCUGUCAAAUUUGAUAUUAUCAAAAUACUGUUUACAACGAAUACACAGACAUUAUUCCCAAGUAGUAAUAUAAAUAUUUUAUAUAAAAUAUUAUUAUUCAAAGUGUAGAAGGUAUAACCUCACUAAGUUUCCAAAAUCUGGGGGAGUAAUCAAAUAAUAUUAUUGCUCUUAACAUGAUAUGAAUUUGCUUUAUUGGGUACGUACAUGAACGUACAUCAAUUUGAAGAGCGUUUGCUUAUUGAAUUGUUUUCAAACUUUUCCUUCUACUGCACUAGCACGGAAGCUGAAUUAUCCGUUUGCAUCCAAUUAGUUGUGCUAUUUCAGAUUUAUUAGUAAAGCAGUAAAUUUUGGUCAAUUCGAGCAGCUCUAGUGUCUAGUCAAUCCAACGGGCGAAAAAACUCAAAGCACAUGCAUCUAUCUUUAUCAUGAAUGCAUUGUGGCAUUCGAUGGUUUCCACUAAAGAAGGAAAAAAAGCUGAUUAAUUAGGCAAUUUUAAACGUACACAUGGACCUUAUUGCUUCAUUAGUAUGGGAGAAUCCCACCCCACCUUGUAUUUUCCAAUCAGCUUGAACGCCUUUGGCAGGUUUGCUACAAUGCUACUGAGAUGUAGGUGACUUGAACUAUUGUUCUGAUUGAUCUGAUAUGGCCGCCACGAUCUGUACGACGUCCCAAACGUGGAGUUAUGGUGGAUUCAUUACGAUCUGGACCAUACAGAUAAACCCAAUGGGUUAUAUCUGUUUUAUUUAGAGUCAACAUGGUGGCUCAGAAGGAACCCCCAAUUAGUAAAUAUAUAAGACAAGAUGCAAAGAUAUGGUUUUGUUCCAAUUCCACAAUUCAAAGCCUUCUUUUCCUUCUCUUUUUACCUUUGCUCCCAUAUUCAUGUUUGGCUUGGACCAUACUGAUACUAGCAUCGGUGGUGGCGUGGCAGUGCGAGCCCCACCGAGUAGUUUGCUAGGCUGCAAGGUCUCGACGUGACCUGUGGAGAGCUAUCGACGAGCUUGCAACACUCCUAGGUGCAACAAUGCCCAGCCCCACAACAAGUGCAGUGCUGCAACAAUGGCCGCCGCACUCGUUGUAUGUGGUUCAGUGUCGAUGUUUCUACAGCUGCUGAUGCUUCAAAUUCCAAUACUGAUUCCACAGUUAUGCGCAGGUAGAUGGGCAUUAUCAUUAGUUGCGGAUCAGUGCUUGCGCAUGGUUCAAUUAUUUCCUUCUUUUUUUAUCAAUCAGGUUCUUGUUCAGAAAGAGCACAGCUUGGCAUGGACAGCUGUGACUUGACAGUUGACAGGAGCAGAAUGUAAGAACAAAAACAAUCUCAGGAAAGGGAAAAUAAAUGGAAGUGACCACAAAAGGGUAGAUCAUCAAUCCAAAAAUCUCGGGUAUACCAUCAAUUAGAAUCUAGGUUAUGCGCGAUAAAUAAUGUGGGUAUGUUCAUAAGAGGCUCAAAUAAUCAAAUAUCCUACAUGGAAUAGAGGGACUCCUUAAUUAGAACCUUGAAUGAGGAGCUUACGUGCCUUUAGUUUUGAGCUGUGAAUCUGUGAUUUACUUGUCGAUUUUGUACGGAGCGCUUUAUUGUGAAACCCUUGGAAGAAGAGUUUUUUGUUGCAUCCACAUGAUUCUAGUUUGUUCUAACUAGUAAGUAUAUCUGCAGGACUGAUGAACUUGCUUUGCUUCUGUUGUCUUUUUUUGGGCCAUGCAUCUGGAGCCUUUGAAGAGAAAUGGAGGAUGGGCAAAAAGAUGGUGCCGCGCAAAUAGUACUUGAGCAUGGUAUUAUUUACAGGGAAUCAUUGGUACUUGAGCAUUGGUAUUAGUAUUUUAGUCGACGUAUACUUUGCUACAUAUGUUGAUGUUAAGCGUGUCAAAGCAAGACAUGAUGGGAGCAAGGUGAAUUUUGGCGAAUGUUUGUAUGUAAGAUGCUUGUUGUUGUGUGUGUUUGGAAAAUGGUCGUAUACUUUUGUCGAAACUCUCAGUGGUUGCAGCACAUUAUCCUCUCUGCUCAACAUGUUCAUGGAUCUGAUGAUUCAUUGCU
This 26842-nucleotide long non-coding RNA is filed under the name Triticum aestivum (bread wheat). Its description in RNAcentral is "long non-coding RNA (TAES_LNC009916)". Lineage: Eukaryota; Viridiplantae; Streptophyta; Magnoliopsida; Poales; Poaceae. The record is from RNAcentral.